Non-coding RNA from Daucus carota subsp. sativus, 81 nucleotides. Lineage: Eukaryota; Viridiplantae; Streptophyta; Magnoliopsida; Apiales; Apiaceae. The record is from Rfam.
CUGUGAGGGGAAUGAUGUAUUACUAUCGUGCUCUCAAAAUGCUCGCUUUUCUGGAUUCUGCUUCAGAGAUGGAUAUCAGGG